Molecule: ribosomal RNA, 617 nt
Filed under: uncultured bacterium
Lineage: Bacteria
Description: bacterial SSU rRNA
Rfam family: Bacterial small subunit ribosomal RNA
Source: RNAcentral
CCUACGGGAGGCAGCAGUGGGGAAUUUUGGACAAUGGGCGCAAGCCUGAUCCAGCAGUGCCGCGUGAGUGAAGAAGGCCUUCGGGUUGUAAAGCUCUUUUGUCAGGGAAGAAACGGUGGAGGUUAAUACCUUCUGCUAAUGACGGUACCUGAAGAAUAAGCACCGGCUAACUACGUGCCAGCAGCCGCGGUAAUACGUAGGGUACAAGCGUUAAUCGGAAUUACUGGGCGUAAAGCGUGCGCAGGCGGUUGUGCAAGACAGAUGUGAAAUCCCCGGGCUCAACCUGGGAAUUGCAUUUGUGACUGCACGGCUAGAGUGUGUCAGAGGGGGGUAGAAUUCCACGUGUAGCAGUGAAAUGCGUAGAGAUGUGGAGGAAUACCGAUGGCGAAGGCAGCCCCCUGGGAUAACACUGACGCUCAUGCACGAAAGCGUGGGGAGCAAACAGGAUUAGAUACCCUGGUAGUCCACGCCCUAAACGAUGUCUACUAGUUGUCGGGUCUUAAUUGACUUGGUAACGCAGCUAACGCGUGAAGUAGACCGCCUGGGGAGUACGGUCGCAAGAUUAAAACUCAAAUGAAUUGACGGCUGAGACGNGCGAGACGACGACGAGGGAGAGG